RNAcentral lists this ribosomal RNA (484 nucleotides) under uncultured bacterium. Its description in RNAcentral is "partial 16S ribosomal RNA". It matches the Rfam family "Bacterial small subunit ribosomal RNA", at positions 30 to 507 of the family's 1533-position model. The record is from RNAcentral.
AUUGAACGCUGGCGGCAGGCCUAACACAUGCAAGUCGAGCGGAUGAAGGGAUCUUGCUCCUGGAUUCAGCGGCGGACGGGUGAGUAAUGCCUAGGAAUCUGCCUGCUAGUGGGGUAUAACUUCCGGACACGGUCGCUAAUACCGCAUACGUCCUGAUGGAGAAAGUGGGGGAUCUUCGGACCUCACGCUAUCAGAUGAGCCUAGGUCGGAUUAGCUCGUUGGUGGGGUAAAGGCCUACCAAGGCGACGUUCCGUAACUGGUCUGAGAGGAUGAUCAGUCACACUGGAACUGAGACACGGUCCAGAAUCCUACGGGAGGCAGCAGUGGGGAAUAUUGGACCAUGGGCGAAAGCCUGAUCCAGCCAUGCCGCGUGUGUGAAGAAGGUCUUCGGAUUGUAAAGAACUUUAAGUUGGGAGGAAGGGCAGUAAGUUAAUACCUUGCUGUUUUGACGUUACCAACAGAAUAAGCACCGGCUAACUACGUG